RNAcentral lists this long non-coding RNA (1504 nucleotides) under Callithrix jacchus (white-tufted-ear marmoset). RNAcentral's name for it is "lncRNA (ENSCJAG00000074902.1)". The record is from RNAcentral. Lineage: Eukaryota; Metazoa; Chordata; Mammalia; Primates; Cebidae.
AUGGAGGCAACCUCUAAAAUUACAUUCUAUUCAAUGAUGAUGUUAUUAAACGAUUCGGACAUUGGCCGUCCUGGUUCUUGGACCUUCAGACUUGAACUGCGACUUACAACCAUAGCCUCCUCUGAUUCUCAGGCCUUCAAAUUUGGACUGGAAACACACCCAACCCCACUGGCUUUCCUAGGCUUCCAGCUGACAGACAGCACAUUGUGGGACAGCCUCCAUAAGUCUAGUGACCCAAUUCUUCAUAAUAAAUAUCUUUCUCUGUAUCUGCAUAUCUUUCUUUGAUUCUGUAUCUCUGGCUUUCUCUGCCUAAUACACCCAUUCAGUUUAAACUGUGGUUGCUUGAGCACCCACAGAAUGCUUUCAGAGAGUCAAAAGAAAUGAAAAUAUGACUCCUUAAUACAGAUGGGAUUAGGAGGUAACCUCUAGAAUUACAUUCUAUUAAAUGACGAUAUUAUUAAAUGAUGUAGUGAACGUUCCUGGCAAUAGUAAUUCUGCAAGUUGAGAGCUGGAGUUGUUGAGACCUUUGUGGGCAGAUUGGAAAAGCUUCUUGAGUCAGUAGGACACCCCAGAGUGUUUCUUCUUUCUCUCUUUCUUUCUUUUUUCUCUCUCUCUUUCUUUCUUUUUCUUUUUCUUUCUCUCUCUUUUUCCUUUCUUUCUCUCCUUCUCUCUCCCUCCCUCUCUCUCUCUCUUUCUUUCUCUCUCUCUCCCUUUCUUUCUUUCUUUCUUUCUUUCUUUCUUUCUUUCUUUCUUUCUUUCUUUCUUUCUUUCUUUCUUUCUUUCUUUCUUCCUUUCUUUUCUUUCUUUUUCUCUUUCUCUCUUUUUUUCUUGAGACUCCUUAGACAGAGUCUCACUCUGUCACCCAGGCUGGAGUGCAGUGGUGCAAUCUUGGGUCACUGCAACCUCCACCUCCUGGUUUCAAGAGAUCCUGCCUCAGUCUCCUGAGUAGCUGGGAUUACAGAUGCCUGUUACCAGACCUGGCUAAUUUUUGUAAUUUUAGUAGAGACGGCAUUUCACCAUGUUGGCCAAGCUGGUCUGGAACUCCUGACCUCAGGUGAUCUGCUCACCUCAGCCUCCCAAAGUGCUUGGAUUACAGGUGUGAGCCACCAUGCCCAGGCCCACAGAGUGUUUCUUCUCCUCUCCUAAUCAGGUCCUCUGUGAUCUUGUCACACAGCUUUUAUUAACUACUUAACAACUGGUAAAAUGUCCAAUGAAGUAUUUUUUUAAAUUUCCCCAGGAUUGAGAUCUGUAUUACAGUUUUUUUGUGAGAUUAAAUUUUAUUACCCAGGUUCAGAUCUUAAAAGAUUUAAUGAAGUUGAGUCAUUUUAAUAUCACACAGGAGGGGGAAACAAUUUUCUUUCUGUACACUGGGAACACUAUGUAUGAUGGUUAGAUGUCAAGACAGAUCAAGGUACUAAUUUAACAGUGUGUGAGGAAUUGGAAAACUCUUCUACUUCUUUGAAAUUUCAGAAUCUAUAUAUGUAUGGUUCACUUCAGAAACUAG